Molecule: small nuclear RNA, 107 nt
Filed under: Carlito syrichta (Philippine tarsier)
Lineage: Eukaryota; Metazoa; Chordata; Mammalia; Primates; Tarsiidae
Source: RNAcentral
GUGCUUACUGUGUCAGCACAUGUACUAAAAUUGGGACAAUACAGAGAAGAUCAGCAUGGCUCCUGCACAAGGAUGACAUGCAAAUUCGUGAAGCAUUCCGUAUGUUU